This 89-nucleotide ribosomal RNA is filed under the name Vibrio vulnificus. Lineage: Bacteria; Pseudomonadati; Pseudomonadota; Gammaproteobacteria; Vibrionales; Vibrionaceae. The record is from RNAcentral.
CCUGAAUCCAUUCCGAACUCAGAAGUGAAACGAAAUAGCGUCGAUGGUAGUGUGGGGUUUCCCCAUGUGAGAGUAGAACAUCGCCAGGC